CUUGGGUUUUUCUUUUUUUGGUACCAGGGAUUGAACUCGGGACCUUGGGCUUUCGAGUUCCAGGAAAACAUCGUGUGUAAUUGAAAAUGUUGAGGACAACAAGCAGGACCCUGUGGGAAGAUGAGAAGAUUUUACAGAGAGAUACUAGCCCAUGAGGGGAGUGUUCAUCAGGCAAGACAGGCAGACAGGAAAAAGCCAAGUCCAGAGGGAGUCAGGAUGAUCCAAAGAAGGACAAGAUAAAAUGAAGCCUGGGACUGAGAACUAACAAAAACCCAGGCCCCAGGAUGGGGACAUGAUGGCCAAGGCCAGGACCCUGGUGGCCUGAUGAGCAAGGGUCCCAUUUAAACUAGUGGGAUCCUCCUGUGAUAAAAACAAGGUGAUAGAUAACCAGUCCCACCAAGCCUCCAUUCUUACUCCCCUCUGAAGAGUGCCUUUGUUUUACUCAUGCUGGUAAUUUUAGAGAAGUUAUAAUUAAUGGUGCUUGCAAAAUUCUGCUUGCUACAUAUCCCAGGUUCUAAGGAGUUCUAAGUUAAGCCCACUUCUAAGUCAAACUUUCCUGCUUAUAACCUCAUAGGAUGACCUCAACUCGGCCCAGAGUGGUGUGAGAUGUAAUCAUUUUUGUGUAUAAAAACCCCUAGACAAAGAGAUCCUAUAGCAACUGACUUGAGUCUCCUCCUGGUAUCGAGAGCUUUCUGCUUUCACUCUAUGAUAAAUUAUUUUGCUCAUUUCUCUCUUGAUUCUGCCUCAUAAUUCUUUCUGGGUUGAGAGAAGAACCCUGGAGCAGGAUGGUAACAGAGCUAUUCCAGAUAGAUUAACUUGGACUUUGCUUGGGUUUGCAUUAUAG
This 844-nucleotide long non-coding RNA is filed under the name Heterocephalus glaber (naked mole-rat). RNAcentral describes it as "lncRNA (ENSHGLG00000045758.1)". The record is from RNAcentral. Lineage: Eukaryota; Metazoa; Chordata; Mammalia; Rodentia; Bathyergidae.